UAGCUUAGUGGUAGAGUACUUGCCUAGCAUGCAUGAAGCCCUGGGUUCAAUUCCUUG
Molecule: transfer RNA, 57 nt
Filed under: Dipodomys ordii (Ord's kangaroo rat)
Lineage: Eukaryota; Metazoa; Chordata; Mammalia; Rodentia; Heteromyidae
Rfam family: tRNA
About the family: Transfer RNA (tRNA) molecules are approximately 80 nucleotides in length. Their secondary structure includes four short double-helical elements and three loops (D, anti-codon, and T loops).
Source: Rfam by way of RNAcentral